This 649-nucleotide ribosomal RNA is filed under the name uncultured bacterium. Its description in RNAcentral is "bacterial SSU rRNA". It matches the Rfam family "Bacterial small subunit ribosomal RNA", at positions 10 to 654 of the family's 1533-position model. The record is from RNAcentral.
AGUUUGAUCCUGGCUCAGAUUGAACGCUGGCGGCAUGCCUUACACAUGCAAGUCGAACGGCAGCACGGGAGCAAUCCUGGUGGCGAGUGGCGAACGGGUGAGUAAUAUAUCGGAACGUGCCCAGUCGUGGGGGAUAACGCAGCGAAAGCUGUGCUAAUACCGCAUACGAUCUACGGAUGAAAGCGGGGGAUCGCAAGACCUCGCGCGAUUGGAGCGGCCGAUAUCAGAUUUGCUAGUUGGUGGGGUAAAGGCCCACCAAGGCGACGAUCUGUAGCUGGUCUGAGAGGACGACCAGCCACACUGGAACUGAGACACGGUCCAGACUCCUACGGGAGGCAGCAGUGGGGAAUUUUGGACAAUGGGCGCAAGCCUGAUCCAGCAAUGCCGCGUGCAGGAUGAAGGCCUUCGGGUUGUAAACUGCUUUUGUACGGAACGAAACGGCUUCUUCUAAUAAAGGAGGCUAAUGACGGUACCGUAAGAAUAAGCACCGGCUAACUACGUGCCAGCAGCCGCGGUAAUACGUAGGGUGCGAGCGUUAAUCGGAAUUACUGGGCGUAAAGCGUGCGCAGGCGGUUAUAUAAGACAGAUGUGAAAUCCCCGGGCUCAACCUGGGACCUGCAUUUGUGACUGUAUAGCUAGAGUACGGUAG